Long non-coding RNA from Acanthopagrus latus (yellowfin seabream), 1940 nucleotides. RefSeq lists it as uncharacterized. The transcript has 2 exons. The record is from RefSeq and is a predicted model, not a curated record. NCBI's taxonomy places the organism in Eukaryota, Metazoa, Chordata, Actinopteri, Spariformes, Sparidae.
UGUGAACUCACGCAGCAGGUGCCACUCAUCCUGUUGGAUGGUCCUAGUCAGGUUCAGAGGGAUGUUCCUCAGUCUGAUUGGCUGGGAGAAGUGAUACUUGACAGCUGUGCAGCGAUCUGCGAUACCUGCAGACACAGUACAAAGCUGAGCGUCUGGGCUGGAGCGGCUCUCUGCUGCUCCAAACUGAGGCUGCGCUGAUCGCUGAUUACGGGAGGAAACAGACUGACUAUAGAUAUGUACUUUAUAUGACCCCACUUCAAAAAACACAAACUAUCCCUUUAAAAGUAAGGUAGGCUAGAGCUGGCACGUUUAAUGAUUUAUAGGCAGACAUUAAAAUCUUAAAAUCAAACCUAAAACAUAAAGGAAGCCAGUGAAGGGAGGCCAAUCCUGCUGAGAUGUGCUCUUGCGUGUAUGUUCCAGUUAAAAAGUGAGCUGCAGCAUUUUGCACCAACUGCAAGUGAGAGAGGGAAGCCCGGCUAACAUCAACUUAAAGGGCCUUACACUAGUUAAGUCUGGAAGUGAUAAAAGCAUGUAUAAGCCUUUCCAAGUCACGGAAUGAUAAAAAUUUCUUGACCUAAGAUAAAAGCCUCGGCUGGAAAAAGAUAGAUUUGACCGCUGAGUUAAUCGGUUCAACCAGUUUAAAAUCACUGUCCAUUAUCACACCCAGGUGUUUCUCAGUAGGUCUUUCAUUUGGUUCCAGGGAACACAGGUGCAUAUGAGGGGAAUCAGAGGCACCACUAGGUCCUAAAAUCAGGACUUCAGUUUUAUUCUCAUUAAAGUGUAGAAAGUUUAAGGCCAUCCAAGCUCUGAUGUGUGCAAGACAAUCAAAUAAUAACUUGAAAGAGUUUGCAUCCUUCCGUUUCCAAGGCAGAUAUAUUUGAGUGUCAUCUGCAUAACAGUGAAACUAGAUGCCAUAUUUUCUGAAGAUGGACCCCAGGGGAAGAAGGUAGAGGGAAAACAUGAUGGGUCAGAGAAUAGAUCCCUGAGGACUCCACAAGGGAGGUGCUGAGGAAGACACAGAGUCACCAAAGUUAACAGAAAAGCUUCUAUCAGACAGGUCAGACCUGAACCAUUCCAGACCAGUGCCUUAACGCCAACACACUGUUCUAGGCGAGACAUGAGGAUCCUAUGGUCUACUGUGUUGCAUGCAGCCAUAAGAUCAAAAUGUAUGAGAAUGGCAGAAAGGCCUGAGUCAGCAGUUAAUAAAUGAUCAUUUGCAGAGGAAUAUUAAACUCAGAAAAAUAUAGCGGUACUUAUAAUUAUUACAAUUAAACCGACAGUUUGGCAGUUGUUGCCCACAUACAGAUGUUGACACAACUACUAGGCUACUUCAAUAUAUUCUACUUUAUAUGGUAUGCAAUUCAAUUAAUGUGAGUCAGACAUUAUGAGGUUCCAUACCUUAAUGUGAGGAAAUUUUUUCUUUGACCUCUUUGAAUUUUAAUUGAAUACCCCAAGCUUAAAGUAUAACUUUGUUAUAUUUAAACCUACAUAAUAGGUCAGUAGAUAAAUAACAAGCAAACAUUAAAUGGUUUGCAGCUCAGUUACUCAGUUACUAGUGACAAGCGCUAGCAUAAUGCAGCUACUCUAUGGUACCCAACACGGCAGCGACAACAACAGACAUCGUCAGAAGUCACAUGACUGCAAGACAUCUGUAGGUUACAGUGUGUCUGUUAAUAAAUGCUGCAGCUUCUCAAGACCAAGUGAAGUCUCCCUGGAAGGAAAUAAAAUCUCCCCUGCGCUUCCUGACUGUGGUCUGGAGCUCUAGAAAUAAUACACAGUUGUCUGUCACUGAUGUCUAACAUAAUGCAAUAACUUGAAAUUUAAUUUCCAGAAUUAAAAUGAAGAAGACGACAGAGAAAGAAUGAGGUGACAGACUAUAAAAGGCUAUUUUAACAUCUCUAGACUCUGAUAGUAAUUCAAUAUAGGAAUGUUUAAAACAC